GAUUAUAUUUUAUUUAUUAAUUUAAAUUAUUUUAAUGAAAAUAUUAGAAAUAACUAUAAAUUUUAAAGUUUUAGUAUUGUUUAAAGAAAAAAUAAUUUUAAUAAUAGUUUAUUAGUAUUGUAAAAGAAAAUUGAAAUAAUUUGAAAAAAUUUUAUUAUAAAAGAAAAUUUAAUUUAUUGUACCUUGUGUAUCAGCGUUUAUUAAAUAAAAAAUAAAUAUUUAUUUUUCUCGAUUUUAAAAGAGUUAAUAUAAUAUAUAAGUUAAUGUGACAAAAUUAUUUAAAAUAUUAUAUUAGAAAUGAAAUGUUAUUCGUUUUUAAAGGUAUCUAGUUUUUUAAGAAAUAAAUUUAAUUUAGAAAUUAUAAAUUUAUUUAUUUAAUUUUAUUAAUUAAAUAAUUUAUAAUUUUAAUAUUUUAUGGGAUAAGCUAUAAAAUAAAUUUUUAAAAAUAAUAAAUAAAUUUGAUAAAUAUAUGCUUAGAAUUAGCAAUUAUUAAAAAGUGUGUUAUAAUUUAUUUUAUAAAUUAAAUUAUUUAUUAAAUUUUAAUUAUUUAUUAAAAUAUUAAUUUUAAUAUUUAAAAUUAAGUAAUAAUGAUAGAAUUAGUAUAUUAUAUUGUUUAAAUAAAUUUUUAUGAAAAGUUUAAAUAAAGAAUUCGGCAAAAAUAAUGUUCGCCUGUUUAACAAAAACAUGUCUUUUUGAAUUAUAUAUAAAGUCUAACCUGCCCACUGAAAUUUCUUAAAUGGCCGCAGUAUUUUGACUGUGCAAAGGUAGCAUAAUCAUUAGUCUUUUAAUUGAAGGCUGGAAUGAAUGGUUGGACGAAAUAUUAACUGUUUCAUUUAAAUUUUUUUUAGAAUUUUAUUUUUUAGUCAAAAAGCUAAAAUUUAUUUAAAAGACGAGAAGACCCUAUAAAUCUUUAUAUUUUGUUUAUUUUAAUUAUAAAGAUUAAUUUAAUUUUAAUAAAUUAAAAUAUUUUAUUGGGGUGAUAUUAAAAUUUAAAAAACUUUUAAUUUUUAAAAACAUUAAUUUAUGAAUAAUUGAUCCAUUAAUAAUGAUUAAAAAAUUAAGUUACUUUAGGGAUAACAGCGUAAUUUUUUUGGAGAGUUCAUAUCGAUAAAAAAGAUUGCGACCUCGAUGUUGGAUUAAGAUAUAAUUUUGGGUGUAGCCGUUCAAAUUUUAAGUCUGUUCGACUUUUAAAUUCUUACAUGAUCUGAGUUCAAACCGGUGUAAGCCAGGUUGGUUUCUAUCUUUAAAAAAUUAUAAUAUUUUAGUACGAAAGGACCAAAUAUUAAAAUAAUUAUAUUUUUAAAUAUGAAUAUUAUUAAUAUAAAACUAUUUUGGCAGAUUAGUGCAAUAAAUUUAGAAUUUAUUUA
RNAcentral lists this ribosomal RNA (1367 nucleotides) under Drosophila biarmipes. RNAcentral describes it as "16S ribosomal RNA". Lineage: Eukaryota; Metazoa; Arthropoda; Insecta; Diptera; Drosophilidae. The record is from RNAcentral.